UGGGGAAUAUUGCACAAUGGGCGAAAGCCUGAUGCAGCAACGCCGCGUGAGUGAUGAAGGCCUUCGGGUUGUAAAGCUCUGUCUUUUGGGACGAUAAUGACGGUACCAAAGGAGGAAGCCACGGCUAACUACGUGCCAGCAGCCGCGGUAAUACGUAGGUGGCAAGCGUUGUCCGGAUUUACUGGGCGUAAAGGAUGCGUAGGCGGAUUUUUAAGUGGAGAUGACUGAAAACCUAGUCAUAACUUGGGGGACUGCAUUUCAUACUGGAAAUCUAGAGUGCGGGAGAGGAGAAUGGAAUUCCUAGUGUAGCGGUGAAAUGCGUAGAGAUUAGGAAGAACACCAGUGGCGAAGGCGAUUCUCUGGACCGUAACUGACGCUGAGGCAUGAAAGCGUGGGUAGCAAACAGGAUUAGAUACCCUGGUAGUCCACGCCGUAAACGAUGAGUACUAGGUGUAGGAGGUAUCGACCCCUUCUGUGCCGCAGUUAACACAAUAAGUACUCCGCCUGGGAAGUACGAUCGCAAGAUU
RNAcentral lists this ribosomal RNA (527 nucleotides) under uncultured bacterium. RNAcentral's name for it is "partial 16S ribosomal RNA". It matches the Rfam family "Bacterial small subunit ribosomal RNA", at positions 355 to 895 of the family's 1533-position model. The record is from RNAcentral.